This 1068-nucleotide long non-coding RNA is filed under the name Polistes fuscatus (common paper wasp). Its description in RNAcentral is "uncharacterized LOC122524811". Lineage: Eukaryota; Metazoa; Arthropoda; Insecta; Hymenoptera; Vespidae. The record is from RNAcentral.
AAGCUACCUGCAAAAGGGAGACGUUUAUUGAAUUAACUAAUUACUUCUCCAAAUACACUCGAGCGAAUCUCCAACGUGCAAAAAGGUAUGCCGACAUUGAAACCGCUUUUAAUUCAAUGUAGAUAGAAGAGGAAGAUAAAAAAAGAGAGAGAAGACGGAAACGCGUCAGAUGUUUCAGCAAAGAUUUCUGCCAAUGAAAGAAGCAACCGACUCAACGCGAAACGUCCUCUUCUUAUCAAUUAAAACAUUGCACUUGCGAGUCAGAAACGAAGCAUAAAUUUUCCAACUAUCUCAUCGUUUUGUUAUCAGUGAACGUGAGCGAAUGAAUGGGGAAGCGCGAAAAGUCGAACAUCGUGAAGAGGAGUUAGGAGGGAAGAGGUGGGAAGGAAAAGAUGAAAAGGAAGAAGAGAAGUGUAAGAAAAAAAGGAUGAACUGAAAAGACGGAAGAAAGUUUGCGAGCGUAUCGUAAUGUUAGGCAAGAAGUUAGUGAUGUACUAAAAAUAUAUAUGUAAAAAAAAAGACAAAAGAUACACACACGUGUUCACGCAUAUAUAUACAUAAAUACGUAUACGAGCAAAGAGAGAAAAAGAGGGAGAAAAAAACAAGUCAACGUCGAAUCCAUCCUAACAGCCCGUACAUUUUCGUCCUCGAUACGAUAAGACAAAGUUGUGGCCACAUAGAAGAAUAACACGGUCGAGACAAACGCCUAAAGGGAGUCUCUUAUUUUCUUUUCUCUUCACACGAAUUACACCAAAGCCGAUUUUUUCCACGCGAAGAGUCGCCUGUGUGCCUGCUCUUUUUCUUUCUGCCGAAGAUCCUCUUCUCUUAAGACAACGAUCCUUCGAGAGCUUAGAGAUAUUCGUCUAAAGUCACGGUUAAAUCUACCAACGUUGAGUCAAUACGAGAUUUAGGAUUAACCUGAAUUCUUCCGGCUUCCUUCGUUUCUUCGUCUCUAACUCGUCGAAUUUCCAGUCCCGUGCUUUUGGAUUAUCUCGGUCAAACCAGUUGUUCUCUUUCGGAUUUUCUACUGCAGCUUGCAGACAUAAAUAAAUACACCCAUACAGUACA